UGGAGCUCAGACGUGGACUCUUCCUUCUGGUGCCCUUUUCCUUGAAUUCUGGGCCCUGGGUUAAAUGUUGGAGCGGCCCUGCUGACUUCCACGUUUCUUAAGGCCCCAGACUCGUCUUACACAUUAGGUGUGCCAGGCGCCCGGACCCUGGCCUGUGUCCGUGCCCAGAGCCCACCUAAUCCGGGGAAAGGGUCGUGUCUGCCUCUGUCGGAAGAGAGGGGACUCCAGCAGGCUCCUUGCCCUUGUUCCUUCCAGGGCGAGAGCUGCUCCCAUCAAGCAGCCCUGGAAUCUGAGUGUCCACACCAUCCUGACAUUCUGGUUCCAGUUCUUGGAGCUGAUGACACAUAAUCGUCUUUGAGCAAGCCAAACGUGUGUCCUCCGGUCUGUGUGUUGUCCGAGUGAAUAUUUCA
This is a long non-coding RNA of Lynx canadensis (Canada lynx), 410 nucleotides long. RefSeq lists it as uncharacterized. The transcript has 3 exons. The record is from RefSeq and is a predicted model, not a curated record. Lineage: Eukaryota; Metazoa; Chordata; Mammalia; Carnivora; Felidae.